Molecule: long non-coding RNA, 375 nt
Organism: Rhagoletis zephyria (snowberry fruit fly)
Lineage: Eukaryota; Metazoa; Arthropoda; Insecta; Diptera; Tephritidae
Source: RefSeq, a predicted model, not a curated record
CCACAAAGAGUUGUUCAUAACAGUGUAUGAUAGUAUUUACUUUAAUUAUUUAAUUAAACCAGCUUAUUUGCAACGAAUAUAACCUCUGAUUGUUAUUAAAAAUAAAUAUUUGUAUGUACAACCAAAGUUGGGUACGUCAGACCGCGUAUAACUUGAGAAUGGAUGGUCCAGGUCCACUGUGAGCUAUUUUUCUAUUGUUUUUUUUUAGGGAUAUGAAGAAAAUAUUUGUUUUUUAUUAAUCAGCCCUAUUCUGCAUUUCGAUUACGUUCCCGCAUUCUGCUCCGCUACAAUCGUAAUUUGGUAUUCUAAGUUACGAUCGAAUCGAAAGAAGAAUAGGAAGAGCGAAAACAUCUUCCAAAUCAGCUGGUUGCCUAG